Molecule: long non-coding RNA, 3365 nt
Organism: Bacillus rossius redtenbacheri
Lineage: Eukaryota; Metazoa; Arthropoda; Insecta; Phasmatodea; Bacillidae
Exons: 3
Source: RefSeq, a predicted model, not a curated record
CAUUCACUUCAUUUGCUUAUACAUACAUACCUUAUUUAUUUACAUAUUUGUGUCAUUAAUUAAAAUAAUUUGUUUAUAUACCUACUAGGGUUGUGCGAUUCCAUGAUUUUCAGUUCGAUUCGAUUCCGAUUCGUUUCUCACCACAAGAGUUGAAAUUCGAUUCCGAUUUCGAUUCUUUGGGUAACUUUAUCUACAUAGUCAUUAGUCUGGUAGGACUAACUAAAAAAAAAUUGCAUUUAUUUUGAACCAUAUGUAUUUAACUUAAAUGAAUAAAAAUACAAUUCUGGAAGAUGACUGCGGCCUUUAAACUUGCCACAAUAUUCAUCCAUUACUUAUUUAAUCACUUCACCACUUAUUAAAGAUGUCAAAUGUUACCAACGGUAAAGUCAGCUGCCUCACUGGAGUCACCGAGAUAGUGCGAUGCGUGCUGCGCUAAGAAGUAUAAUUUAUUAAUUAACCUACAUUUGCACAUAUGACGUAUGCAGCAUGGCCUAGCCAGUAGGUUUAUUUAAAUUAAAACCAAUAAGUAACAUAUAUUUCUUUGUUUUUUCAACAAGAUCUGUUCCCCUAAAAACGGAAAAAAUGCGUAAAUUUGAUUAAUUUAUUAACUUCACGAAGUUAAACCACAUAACAAUGAUCAGCUUUAAUUAAGUUUUGUAAAAGGCAAAAGCAUAAACAGUAAACAGUACUUCGAUACUGACAGAAUGUUACGAUUCAGUGAUUCGAUUCCUUUGUGUCGGCACGCGCGAUCUAUGAUAAAUGGUGGCCUGUCACGUAGUUUCGGUUCCCUACCACGUUCGUGCAACUUCGGAUUUCUCUCAAAAAUUGAAAUUAAAAAAAAUCGAAGGGUUAGGUUAGGUUAGGUCAGUCACAACAUGCUUGUUUUCAUUGGAAACUUCUGAUUUAGCGGCUGAAGUGGCGUUAAUACCAAAACGCAAAACUUCGGAAAUCUUCGGAAAUUCUUGCAGGGAACCGAAACUAUGUGAGUUGUAGGCUUCCCGGCAUGUCAACUGGUCUACACGUCCGGCACCGCUAAAAUAUUUUUAUGUCGUGAAUGUUUUAAUGUUGGUUAUUCUGUUAACAGAAGACUGUCACAGAAUGGCGAUCUUUGUAAAUGUAUGAUUGAACAAGGAACUAUUUUAACUGUUAACAGAAAAUUGUGCGUUGAUGGUUGUAAAAUUCAUUUUUAAUAUGUGUUAUUUAUUUUUCAAAACAAAUAAACCAACAAUAUUUUUUCCCCGUGCAACGUGAGAAAUGGUCAUGAGUAAUAUGCCGUAAGUAGGCAGAAAUAAAAAUGUUUGAGCAGAUUGUUAAACUAUUUCAUAAACAAGCAGUUUUCGUAAGGUAUUUAUCAGGGACUGGAAGUAACGCGCUACUAGUAACGACGUUAUUUGUAACAGUUACUUUUUAUGGUAACGAUCGUGGUAACGCAAUAUAUUAAGUUUUCAGUAACUGUAACUGUAAUUGAAUUACAUUUUUCCGCCUUAAAGUAACGAUAAUUGUCGUUACUUCUUGCGUUACAUUUUUUACAUGUAUUUCUUACUGAACGAACAACGAUUUGUUGAUUUUUUCAAUCCCAGAACGAAAAUCCCGACAAGCAUAUUAUUUGCGAUGGUAUUGCUUGUACUUGUAAAACUGCUGUUGGCUAACCUGCGCUCGUAUUUUGAUUGUCAUUUAUUUAAUAUUUGCGACAUGCGGGUUUACUGUUGUGCUGUUUAAUUAAUUAACGUACCUGUGCACAUGCGCGAAAACAAUGACAGAAUAUAAUGAAGCGAGAAGCCGAGUAAGCAGUCCAGAACUUUCGUUGCCGUGGCCUUCGUAUUCUGAUUUUUUCGAAGUUCGGUCGAGUGAUCAAAAUAAUCUUAUUGUGAAGUGCUUGUUGUGUGGUGCUGCGAACAAUAAGAUGAUCCGAACGAACAUUUCAUCGUCUUCAAACCUGAAGAAACACAUCAAGGUAAGUUUAUCGCAACUAUAGACCCGAUUAGUACCUAAUUUCUAAGUCCUAUUUUAUUUUAAUAACGGACUGUUUACGAAUAUAACGCAUGUUACUCUAAACAGUACCGAAAAUCUGUAUAUGUGCAUGUAUUGCACUUGUGACAACAUUACCUCACUUAAUAUGAUUCAAAUGUUAUUGUAGUAUGUAUGUAAGUAAACAUAACUGCACAAAACAUUAAAAACAUCAUUAUAGAAUGGAAAUAGAAAUAUAUUUUGUUUCUAUAGUAAAAGUGUGUUUGAUUUAUGAUUGCAGAGUAAACACCCUCACAGCUUAUGUUCCCUUGAGAAUGCAAAAAGAAAUGAGCAGGUAAAACGGAAACUGCAGCAUAGUCAAAAUAAUGUACCUAAUAAGCAAACAACAUUGGAAAGAUGGGGCACAGGUGCAUCCCAUGUGACUCAAGGGAUGUUAAAUGAGGCUAUUGUUAAUUUCUUUGUCGAAGGAUGUCAACCACUGUGUAUAGUUGACCAACCUGAAUUCAUAAACUUGGUGCGACUGGGUUUACCAAGCUCAUUAACUAUAAUGAGCUCAAAAACACUUGUAGUGAGGUUAGACGAAGCAUUUACAAAUAUGGUUGGUGUACUAAAAGAAGAAUUACAUACUUCUACUAGAAGUUGUGUCCACAACCACUGACAUGUGGAGUAAAGGGAAAAGGAGCUUCAUAGGCAUGACAGUUCAUUGGAUAAACCCUGAAAGUAUGGAAAGGAAAUCGGCUGCACUGACAUGCAAGCGUUUCAUAGGGAAACACACUUAUGAUGCAAUUGCAAAACACUUAGUUUCUGUACAUCAAGAGUAUUGCAUUCAGAACAAAAUAUGUUGCACAACCACAGACAAUGGCUCAAAUUUUUGCAAAGCUUUUCGUGUGUUCGAAGAAGUUUCUGAAAAUGAUGACGACACCGACUUUCAGUGCAUUGGGGACAUAAUGGAUGAGCACAAUGAAAACAUACUGGAUGAUGAUACAAUGAUUCUUCCUCCCCAUCAGCGAUGUGCAGCUCAUACACUGAACUUAAUUGCCGUUAAAGACACUGAACAGGCCAUGGAAGAUGUUUCUUAUAAAAAAGUAUACAGAAGCACAUUUGCCAAAUGUUCAAAACUCUGGGCAAAACAAAAUCAAUCAACACAAGUAGCAGAUCACAUCAAUGCAAAAUGUGGUGUUUAUUUGAAGACACCAGUCAUAACCAGGUACGCUGCUGCCAAGUAUUUUUGUAUAGAAAUAAUCGAUAGACCUACCAUAGAUAUUACAAUUUUUUUUAUCUGGCAAUGCAUUAUUUGUUCAAAUUUUUGUGGUGCGAUGACUGUACAAUAUAGAGUAAUUGUGUUUAUUGUUUAAAAUAAGACUAUUAAAAAUAUUUUAGCAUGUAAAAGAAAAAUA